CCUACGGGGGGCAGCAGUGAGGAAUAUUGGUCAAUGGGCGCGAGCCUGAACCAGCCAAGUCGCGUGAGGGAAGACGGUCCUAUGGAUUGUAAACCUCUUUUGUCGGGGAGCAAAAGACGCCACGCGUGGCGUUCCGAGAGUACCCGAAGAAAAAGCAUCGGCAAACACCGUGCCAGCAGCCGCGGUAAUACGGGGGAUGCAAGCGUUAUCCGGAUUUAGUGGGUUUAGGGGGUGCGCAGGCGGAAGAUCAAGCCAGCGGUAAAAUUGAGAGGCUCAACCGCUACGAGCCGUUGAUACUGGUUUUCUUGAGUGAGUGAGAAGUAUGCGGAAUGCGUGGUGUAGCGGUGAAAUGCAUAGAUAUCACGCAGAACUCCGAUUGCGAAGGCAGCAUACCGGCGCUCAACUGACGCUGAUGCACGAAAGUGUGGGUAUCGAACAGGAUUAGAUACCCGGGUAGUC
Molecule: ribosomal RNA, 459 nt
Filed under: uncultured bacterium
Lineage: Bacteria
Description: partial 16S ribosomal RNA
Rfam family: Bacterial small subunit ribosomal RNA
Source: RNAcentral